Daphnia carinata is the source of this 1442-nucleotide long non-coding RNA. RefSeq lists it as uncharacterized. The transcript is spliced from 3 exons. The record is from RefSeq and is a predicted model, not a curated record. Lineage: Eukaryota; Metazoa; Arthropoda; Branchiopoda; Diplostraca; Daphniidae.
UUCCUUGGCUUGGAAUUCGACGAAAUCUUUGACACUAAAUGGCAGUAUCAAAUUAGAUAUAAUUAGUGAGUUAGUAUGGCAAUAUGGCAAUCCGUUUAAUUUUUAUUUUUGUCAGACAUUUCUAGAUUUGUUAAAAGCGAGAAGGGUGCUGUUUGCCUUCCUCGCUAGAUUAUACUUCUUGACAUCGUGGUUUUGGCGAUUUUCAGCAUUAAAUUUACUCAUACUUCAACGCUAUUCAAGAUACGCUAAUGAGAGAAAAACUAGAAGUGCCGUAUAGUACAUGGGUCAGGAAUGUAAUCGGAAUUUCAAUUCACCUUGGUAGGUUACUUAAUGUUGAUGGACUUCCAUUACAGCAGAACAAUUACAGCUAGUACUUGCAGCAGUUACAACACAUGAACAAAGUUGAAGUUUCCGUGAAAAAUGCACCAGCAGCCACAAAGUAGUGGGUUCACAAGGGCUGGCAGAUGUUUUGAUUUUGCCCUAAAUCUAAGGAAAUUGUCCUUCAAAAGGUAAUAUGUUUUGUGGGCACCACAUUUAAAAGAUCUUCAUCAGCAUUUCAGAAAUUUCUUCAUCUAAGCAAUCCCAGAUAUUGAUCUGCAUUGCAUCUACUGCCGUUGUAUUUUCACGUUUGUCAUAGCGUCUUCGCUGCAUCAAGGUUGGUUGCGCCGAUGAUUCUCGUUCAUGGUAAGACUGAAUGAUGGAUUUACUCGAUUAUCGUUCUUCUUUAGACAAUGUGUUUAUUCGAUGUAAAGAGUCAUUUCGAUGGUGCCGAUGAUUCAUGUUAAUGGUAAAACUAACGCUUCUUAGCUGAUUACCAUUCGUCAUUAGGCAAUGUGUUGUUUCUCACUCGUCAUUUAUUUCUCAAAAUCGCUUUUGGGCAGUAUGUCACAUGGAAAGCUUUUACAGGGAAAAUAGAUAAUCCGCUGUUUUCUCUGUGCUAUUUUCAGCGUGUUUCAUACUUCUUACAUUCAACCGUUUGAUUGUGGGGACUGGCACAAAAAACUAAUGUCGUUCUUUACUUUUCUUGUCACGUUUGUCGUUAAAUGGGUAUUAGCGCUAAGGGCACACAGGGAUACGCAAUACCGAAUCGUUAUUUCUUAUAUGAAAAUUACUGUUUCGUGAUUUUUAAUCAUAUUAUAUGGCCACCAUUUGAUUCCCUAGUAAUACGUUAAUUUCUUUAACCUUGUAAUUUUGUAUUUUCAUUUUUUAACCGGCGAGGCACAAAAAAAAAACUUGGUGCGUGCGUGUGGCUAUUCAUACGACAAACAGCUGGCAAGAGAUGGAAAGUACCAUUUUAAACAAAAACAUGUAAAAUCAGUUUAUCCUAAAACUACAGUUUGAUGUUGAUCAGGUUCGCUUGUAAAAAGACGCAGUUGACACUCUUUUGAAAUUUCCUUUCCAAAUCAUGUAUUUUCAUGAGAAUAUAUUGGUUUUUGAAUAAA